UGGGGUGUAGCUCAGUGGUAGAGCACUUGUCUACUAUGCAGGAGCCCCUGGGUUUACACCUCAG
Molecule: transfer RNA, 64 nt
Filed under: Heterocephalus glaber (naked mole-rat)
Lineage: Eukaryota; Metazoa; Chordata; Mammalia; Rodentia; Bathyergidae
Rfam family: tRNA
About the family: Transfer RNA (tRNA) molecules are approximately 80 nucleotides in length.
Source: Rfam by way of RNAcentral